RNAcentral lists this ribosomal RNA (303 nucleotides) under uncultured bacterium. RNAcentral describes it as "partial 16S ribosomal RNA". It matches the Rfam family "Bacterial small subunit ribosomal RNA", at positions 507 to 807 of the family's 1533-position model. The record is from RNAcentral.
AGCAGCAGCCGCGGUAAUACGUAGGGUGCAAGCGUUAAUCGGAAUUACUGGGCGUAAAGCGUGCGCAGGCGGUUAUAUAAGACAGAUGUGAAAUCCCCGGGCUCAACCUGGGAACUGCAUUUGUGACUGUAUAGCUAGAGUACGGCAGAUGGGGAUGGAAUUCCGCGUGUAGCAGUGAAAUGCGUAGAUAUGCGGAGGAACACCGAUGGCGAAGGCAAUCCCCUGGGCCUGUACUGACGCUCAUGCACGAAAGCAUGGGGAGCAAACAGGAUUAGAUACCCCGGUAGUCCCUGUCUCUUAUAC